Molecule: unclassified non-coding RNA, 433 nt
Filed under: Acanthaster planci (crown-of-thorns starfish)
Lineage: Eukaryota; Metazoa; Echinodermata; Asteroidea; Valvatida; Acanthasteridae
Description: phospholipid scramblase 2-like, transcript variant X2
Source: RNAcentral
UCGUCCCUUUGCAAGGAGCUGUACCCUGCUUGAAAUACCUAGCCGUCCGCCAUUGUACGUGUCAGAGCUUGACAGAAAUCCUUCCGAUGACGUGACAGUCCUUAACAUCGGUGAUUAUCAGAAGGAGGCGGUUGCGUGAGAGACAACAAACUGGGUUUUGGAUGCGAGUCUGCUGUCAGAGUGGAAGGGGCUUCUUUCUGCAUAUCCGGAACAAUUUUGGCCAGGAGGUGAUUCGUGUCGAACGACAGUUCAAGUGCAUGGCUGGCGGUUGCUGGCUGGCCAAUCUUGACUGCUGCUCGUGGGAGGUUACUGUAGAGUCUCCGCCUGGCAACCCCACUGGACGCGUCAAGCAGGGGGUAAGCUUCGAUCAGUGCACGGCACUGCGUUCCCAGGAGGCCCUCAGAUUUACAACGUGAGUCGAAGGCUUACAGCA